RNAcentral lists this long non-coding RNA (2161 nucleotides) under Sus scrofa (pig). RNAcentral describes it as "lncRNA (ENSSSCG00040024676.1)". The record is from RNAcentral. Lineage: Eukaryota; Metazoa; Chordata; Mammalia; Artiodactyla; Suidae.
GGGCAGAUGUGUGAGUGUGCCUGUGCCUCGUCUCUGUGUGUAUGAGCACACACACACCUGUCUACCGUGUGUGUGACCUACGGAAUGACACAGACCCCUGGGGACAGUGGUGGCAAGGAUGCUGUUGUAUGUGCACCUGCUUGGAAGCAGGUCCAUCACUUCAGUACAGAAAUGCUUUUCUUCUGGUUUGCUGCUCUUUCCCCUGUCAGCAACAUGCACCAAAAUGUUGAAAACCUGAAAGGCAAGUAAAAGAUCUGUAAUAUUUCUCCUUCCUGCCUGCCUCUCCACCAUCUUCAUAUACACAGCUGCCUUCAACCUGUGUCCACGUAGGUCAAUUCCCAGUUCAUGAUGUCCUUUUAGCGAAUGGAAUGGUCCAGGUACUUGUGACAAAAUAUUGCACGAUGAAGUCUUUCCAUUGGAAUAAUUGACUGUAUUUCAUUUUGGUCCUUAAAAUAUAUAAACUUUGCCCAUCAAAUUUUGAGUUGGAGAAAAUUCGUUGAGGAGGCUAUUGUCAUCUGAAGACUCAUUGUCUGGAGUUUCCCUCAUACUAUCAAAUUCGUCAUUGUCCUUGGAGCCCAAGUCUGGCCGCCUCUGCCUUCAUCUUCUGAUACAUUGAAGGAUUGUGAAACAUCUUCCUUUAUUUUUUCCUCUUUGCCGUGAUAAAUGGAAAGCAAAGGAAUUCACUGUCUUCUACUAUGUUUGAUGCAAGCUACAAAGAUGGUGUGUCCAGUCUUCUCUUAUUCCUUCUUAAAGAUGAUGCCAUACUUUUGGCAAUGCAAUGGGAAAGCCUUGAAUGAUGCAGUUGUGUUGAUUUAUCUCAUUAUUGCAUUAUCCUCUGAAUCCAGGUCAUUCCACCAUUCUUCUUCUUCUUUCAUAUUGGUCAGAAAAACUCAUGAGUAAUGAUGAAGUAGCAAAUGUUAUUCGAUGACAUGGGAAAAUAAGCACCCUAAGUCACUUAGAUGUACAACAGGGUCCAAUGGAUGCUAUGGUAAUAUAGAAUUAAUCUUAUUUCUUUAAGAAAAAUAAGUAAUUUUUUUUCCUUUGGAAAACUUAUAAUAAAGAAUAAAAAUUAAGUGAUAACUAAUCCUUACAAAAAAUAGAACUGCUCAAAAAAGAAACUCAAAAAUUAAAACUCGGGAGUUCUGUGGUGCAGUGGGUUAAGGAUCUGUCAUUGUCACUGCAGUGAUUUAGGUCACGGCUGUGGCUCGGGUUCAUUCUUUGGCCCAGGAACUUCCACAUGCUGUGGGCACAGCCAAAAAAAAAAAAAAAAAAAAAAAAAAAAAAAGAGAUAAAAAUUGGAUCCAACAGAUCCUGAUGAGAGUUCAUUUUCUCCUCUAUUUUGAUGCAUAAGCUCAUCAAACUUCCUAUGAGUGGAAACUUGUUUUUCCACUUUAAUUGGUAUGUGGUAAAGAUGUGAUUUUGAGUAAAACAUAUUUUGGCUUUACUAACUUAGUAUAUUCUUUUUUUUGAAUUUUUAAAGUUUGUACUAAUUUUUCAUUAUUUUAGACUUAAACAGCCACAUGUGGCCAAUAGUUAGUAUAUUGUAUUGAACAGCACAGUUUUUCAAAAAUACUUCAUUGAAGAAUAGUUGACUUAACAAGUUGUGUUAGUUUCAGGUGUACAGCAAAGUGACUCAGUUAUACAUAUAUGUGUACCCAUUCCUUUUCCGAUUCCUUUCCCAUCUAGGUUAUUACACUGUUUUGAGUAGAUUACCCUGUGCUAUACAACAGGUCCUUGGUGGAUUAGUGUGGCCUUAGUUUUUGCAUUGAUCUUUUCCUUCCUUCCUUCCUUUUUUCCUUUUUAGGACUACACCUGCAGCAUAUGGAAGUUCCCUGGGUAGCGGUCCAAUAGGAGCUGCAGGUACUGGCCUGCACCACAGUCACAGCAACACCGGAUCCUUAACCUACUGAACGAGUCCAGGGAUCGAACCCGCAUCCUCAUGAUUACCACAGCAGGAAUUCUUGAAAUUUUAUUUUCAUAUAAUCUUUAAAAUAUUCAUGAUAUUUGUUCUUUCUCCACUUCUGUGACAUGUACUACUUAGAUUAUUUGAGAUGAAUCAAGAAAUCUGUGAUUCAUAGUGAAUAACGUAGAAAAGGCAUAUUCUGUUUUGAUUUUAGUUCCUCUCUCUCUAUAUAUAUAUUUUAUAAUGAUAUAAAAAUAG